UACUCCUACGGGAGGCAGCAGUGGGGAAUAUUGCACAAUGGGCGCAAGCCUGAUGCAGCGACGCCGCGUGCGGGAUGGAGGCCUUCGGGUUGUAAACCGCUUUUAUAGGGGGGCAAGCUAUGCCUGUGUGGUGUGGUGAGUGGACUUUAUGAAUAAGCACCGGCUAACUACGUGCCAGCAGCCGCGGUAAUACGUAGGGUGCAAGCGUUGUCCGGAUUUAUUGGGCGUAAAGGGCUCGUAGGCGGUUUGUUGCGUCUGGUGUGAAAGCUUACUGCUUAACGGUAGGUUGCGCUGGAUACGGGCAGGCUUGAGUGCAGUAGGGGAGACUGGAAUUCUCGGUGUAACGGUGGAAUGUGUAGAUAUCGGGAAGAACACCUAUGGCGAAGGCAGGUCUCUGGGCUGUUACUGACGCUGAGGAGCGAAAGCGUGGGGAGCGAACAGGAUUAGAUACCCUGGUAGUCCAUGCUGUAAACGGUAGACGCUGGAUGUGGGGCCCAUUUCCACGGGUUCUGUGUCGGAGCUAACGCGUUAAGCGUCCCGCCUGGGGAGUACGGCCGCAAGGUUAAAACUCAAAGGAAUUGACGGA
Molecule: ribosomal RNA, 586 nt
Filed under: uncultured bacterium
Lineage: Bacteria
Description: bacterial SSU rRNA
Rfam family: Bacterial small subunit ribosomal RNA
Source: RNAcentral